RNAcentral lists this non-coding RNA (20 nucleotides) under Arabidopsis thaliana (thale cress). The record is from RNAcentral. Lineage: Eukaryota; Viridiplantae; Streptophyta; Magnoliopsida; Brassicales; Brassicaceae.
UGGCUAGUCUCAGGUUCAUA